UACGGAGGGUGCAAGCGUUGUUCGGAAUUACUGGGCGUAAAGGGCGCGUAGGCGGCCUUCUAAGUCGAACGUGAAAUCCCUGGGCUCAACCCAGGAACUGCGUCCGAUACUGGAAGGCUUGAAUCCGGGAGAGGGAUGCGGAAUUCCAGGUGUAGCGGUGAAAUCCGUAGAUAUCAGGAGGAACAUCGGUGGCGAAGGCGAAUGUCUGGCUCGUUUCUGACGCUGAGACGCGAAAGCGUGGGGAGCAAACAGG
RNAcentral lists this ribosomal RNA (253 nucleotides) under uncultured bacterium. Its description in RNAcentral is "partial 16S ribosomal RNA". It matches the Rfam family "Bacterial small subunit ribosomal RNA", at positions 524 to 776 of the family's 1533-position model. The record is from RNAcentral.